This 1461-nucleotide long non-coding RNA is filed under the name Gossypium barbadense (sea-island cotton). RNAcentral describes it as "long non-coding RNA (GBAR_LNC011212)". Lineage: Eukaryota; Viridiplantae; Streptophyta; Magnoliopsida; Malvales; Malvaceae. The record is from RNAcentral.
UAAUAAACAUGUAUAUCAUCGGCCAUUUUAUUAGCUAAUCACUAGCAAGUAUUUACACAUCAUUCAUUGUUCAUAUUAUACCAAAAGUAGCUAAGUUUCUAUACAUGCCAUACCCAAAACAAAACGUCUAAUUAUACCGAGUUAUUUCUUUGAUAGUGUGAUCGGCCUCCGACGUUUCCUUCGAUCCCCGAGUGGCUAGAUAAGUACUAUAAGAAGAAGAAAAUAAAGAGAUUAAGCACUAGGCUUAGUAAGCUUACAAGCAAAUAAAUCACAACAUUCAACAUAAUGGAUAAUUAUGCAUAAUAUCAUCUAACAUCAUAAAUUUCUUUACUUCUCAAUUUCUAUCUUCUUCUUUAUUCCCUUACCUUCUUUCUUACCUGACCUUUCCUUUUUCAUAAAUAUAAUCUACUUUUCCUUUGCUGUUAAUUCACUAUAAUUUAACUCGUACCCUGACCCGUUGAACCACUCGGAAUACUAAGAAUACUAGGGUCGUUCCUGUCUUUCAAUAUCCUGCCAAUGCCAUGUCUUUGACAUGGACUUACAUGAAUUAUUCCUAUCUCCAAUGCCAUAUAUAAUAUGGGCUUACAUGGCUCAAUCCUGCCUCCAAAGCCAUAUUUCUAAUAAGGACUUACAUGGCUCAUUUCUGUUCUGUCCUGUCAACCCUAAUAUCCUAACAUUCCUAGGGUUUAACCGGGGCUUUCUAACACUUUUCCUCUGUCACUUCACCUUAAAUUCGACUUUAAAUAUUUUCAUAACAUAAAUAUAUAAAUGUUGAAAAUUGAAAAUAAUAAUGUAAAAUAAAAAAAUAUUGCAUUUAUUUACUGUAACUUACCUUGAUACAAAAUGUGACUAAACUUUACAAUUUAGUCCUUUACUUUUUCUUUUCCCCAAUCUACUCCCGAAUUUUGUUCUUCUUGAUCUAUAAUAGCAAAUUUAACUUAUUUAAUAUUCACAUUUAUUAAAACAGUCCUUGACCCAAACUUUGGAAAAAUUAUAUUUUUACCCCUAAACUUUCACAUAUUUGCACUUUUUCCCCAAGGCUCGUAAAUUAAACUUCAUCCUAUUUUCUUAUGUUUUAUGACAUGCUGAUCAUUUUUCCCUUCUAUGGCAAUAUCAAAAUCACACUCUAACAUAUACUUAUGACUAUUGGUAUUUUUUUCGAUUUAAGCCAUUUUACUCGUUUUCACUUAAAACCGAGUAGCAUAAGUUGUUUAACAUAAUUUAAAACCUCAUAUUCUAUCAUAAAACACCAAAAUACACAAAUUUCAGCUAUGGGUAUUUUUCCAAAUAUGAACCCUAGGUUGAAUUAUUGCUAGAAUAAGCUUAAUCAAGUUACCGGGACUCCAAAAACGUAAAGAUCAUUAAAAACGGGGCUUGGAAUCACUUACUAUGAAGCUUGAAAGUUGAAGAAACCCCAGCUAUGGAGGAGAGAAAAAAUCGGCAGAAACUAAUUGAGAAGAU